This 253-nucleotide ribosomal RNA is filed under the name uncultured bacterium. RNAcentral describes it as "partial 16S ribosomal RNA". It matches the Rfam family "Bacterial small subunit ribosomal RNA", at positions 524 to 776 of the family's 1533-position model. The record is from RNAcentral.
UACGUAGGGGGCUAGCGUUACUCGGAAUUACUGGGCGUAAAGGGCGCGUAGGCGGCCUGAUAAGUCAGGCGUGAAAUUCCCGGGCUCAACCUGGGGACUGCGGUUGAGACUGUUGAGCUAGAGGAUGGAAGAGGGUCGUGGAAUUCCCAGUGUAGAGGUGAAAUGCGUAGAGAUUGGGAAGAACACCGGUGGCGAAGGCGGCGACCUGGUCCAUUACUGACGCUGAGGCGCGACAGCGUGGGGAGCAAACAGG